AUGGUACUAGUACUAUUGAGAAGAAGGUGUUUUUUCAACUCUCACAACACACUCGCAGGUUUUUCUUUCUCCUUCUUCAUUUCGUUCUUCGAUUCUUCUUUCAUCAAUUCCAAACCCUACCACAGGUCUUGGAACUUGAACAUUGCUUCUUCGGUCUUGUGCUGGAAUUGUAUGAAAAAUGGUGUCAUUGGCAUAGGUCAAUCUGAAUGCGAGGGCUGUAGUUAUUGGAGGGGAUUUAUGCUUUGUUGGCUAUAG
Non-coding RNA from Vicia faba (fava bean), 255 nucleotides. NCBI's taxonomy places the organism in Eukaryota, Viridiplantae, Streptophyta, Magnoliopsida, Fabales, Fabaceae. The record is from the annotation of a GenBank genome assembly.